GUAGGGAAUAUUGCGCAAUGGACGAAAGUCUGACGCAGCGACGCCGCGUGAGUGAUGAAGGCCUUAGGGUCGUAAAGCUCUGUUGAAUGGGAAGAAAAAAAUGACGGUACCAUUCGAGGAAGGACCGGCUAACUUCGUGCCAGCAGCCGCGGUAAUACGAGGGGUCCUAGCGUUGUUCGGAAUCAUUGGGCGUAAAGGGUGUGUAGGUGGCCAUGUAAGUCAGGUGUGAAAGCCCCGGGAGCAACCCGGGAAGUGCACUUGAUACUGCGUGGCUUGAGUACCGAAGAGGGUAGUGGAAUUCGAGGUGUAGUGGUGAAAUACGUAGAUAUCUGGAGGAACACCGGUGGCGAAGGCGGCUACCUGGUCGAGUACUGACACUGAGACACGAAAGCAUGGGGAUCAAACAGGAUUAGAAACCCCUGUAGUCC
Molecule: ribosomal RNA, 428 nt
Filed under: uncultured bacterium
Lineage: Bacteria
Description: partial 16S ribosomal RNA
Rfam family: Bacterial small subunit ribosomal RNA
Source: RNAcentral